UACCUAUCGUUGCUUCGGCGGGAUCGCCCCGGCGCCUUCGGGCCCGGAACCAGGCGCCCGCCGGAGGCCCCAAACUCUUAUGUCUUUAGUGGUUUUCUCCUCUGAGUGACACAUAAACAAAUAAAUAAAAACUUUCAACAACGGAUCUCUUGGUUCUGGCAUCGAUGAAGAACGCAGCGAAAUGCGAUAAGUAAUGUGAAUUGCAGAAUUCAGUGAAUCAUCGAAUCUUUGAACGCACAUUGCGCCCGCCAGUAUUCUGGCGGGCAUGCCUGUUCGAGCGUCAUUUCAACCCUCAGGCCCCCAGUGCCUGGCGUUGGGGAUCGGCGUGGGCGGCGACGGCUCUCCGGAGCCCGAACCAAUGCCUGCCGGCCCCGAAAUUCAGUGGCGGUCUCGCUGUAGUCCCCCUCUGCGUAGUAGCACAACUCGCAUUGGAGCUCGGCGGUGGCCAUGCCGUAAAACACCCCACUUCUGAAAGUUGACCUCGGAUCAGGUAGGAAUACCCGCUGAACUUAAGCAUAUCAA
RNAcentral lists this ribosomal RNA (522 nucleotides) under Paramyrothecium roridum. RNAcentral's name for it is "eukaryotic LSU rRNA". The stretch from base 130 to 283 matches the Rfam family "5.8S ribosomal RNA". Lineage: Eukaryota; Fungi; Ascomycota; Sordariomycetes; Hypocreales; Stachybotryaceae. The record is from RNAcentral.